Molecule: ribosomal RNA, 474 nt
Filed under: uncultured bacterium
Lineage: Bacteria
Description: bacterial SSU rRNA
Rfam family: Bacterial small subunit ribosomal RNA
Source: RNAcentral
ACGCUGGCGGCGUGCCUAACACAUGCAAGUCGAACGGAGUUAAUGAUUUCGGUUGUUAACUUAGUGGCGAACGGGUGAGUAACGCGUGAACAACCUGACCCAAAGAGGGGGAUAACAUUUGGAAACAGAUGCUAAUACCGCAUAAGACCACAACGUCACAUGGCGAAGGGGUCAAAGGAGCAAUCCGCUUUGGGAGGGGUUCGCGUCCCAUUAGGUAGUAGGCGGGGUAACAGCCCACCUAGCCAACGAUGGGUAGCCGAGCUGAGAGGCUGAUCGGCCACACUGGAACUGAGACACGGUCCAGACUCCUACGGGAGGCAGCAGUGGGGAAUAUUGGGCAAUGGGCGCAAGCCUGACCCAAGCAACGCCGCGUGAGGGAAGAAGGUUUUCGGAUUGUAAACCUCUGUCGCAGAAGACGAAGGAAGUGACGGUAUUCUGUGAGGAAGCCCCGGCUAACUACGUGCCAGCAGCAGC